RNAcentral lists this ribosomal RNA (397 nucleotides) under uncultured bacterium. Its description in RNAcentral is "partial 16S ribosomal RNA". It matches the Rfam family "Bacterial small subunit ribosomal RNA", at positions 523 to 918 of the family's 1533-position model. The record is from RNAcentral.
CUACGUAGGUGACAAGCGUUAUCCGGAUUUACUGGGCGUAAAGGGCGUGUAGGCGGUCUUGCAAGUCAGAAGUGAAAUUCCUGAGCUCAACUCGGGCGCUGCUUCUGAAACUGCAGGACUUGAGUGCUGGAGGGGAUAGCGGAAUUCCUAGUGGAGCGGUAAAAUGCGCAGAUAUUAGGAAGAACACCGGUGGCGAAGGCGGCUAGCUGGACAGUAACUGACGCUGAGGCGCGAAAGCGUGGGGAGCAAACAGGAUUAGAUACCCUGGUAGUCCACGCUGUAAACGAUGAAUACUAGGUGUAGGGGGUAUCGACUCCCUCUGUGCCGCAGUUAACACAAUAAGUAUUCCGCCUGGGGAGUACGGCCGCAAGGUUGAAACUCAAAUGAAUUGACGGGG